GAGUUUGAUCUUGGCUCAGAUUGAACGCUGGCGGCAUGCCUUACACAUGCAAGUCGAACGGCAGCAUGAUCUGGCUUGCUAGAUUGAUGGCGAGUGGCGAACGGGUGAGUAAUACAUCGGGACGUGCCCUGUAGUGGGGAUAACUAGUCGAAAGAUUAGCUAAUACCGCAUACGACCUGAGGGUGAAAGUGGGGGACCGCAAGGCCUCAUGCUAUAGGAGCGGCCGAUGUCUGAUUAGCUAGUUGGUGGGGUAAAGGCCCACCAAGGCGACGAUCAGUAGCUGGUCUGAGAGGACGAUCAGCCACACUGGGACUGAGACACGGCCCAGACUCCUACGGGAGGCAGCAGUGGGGAAUUUUGGACAAUGGGCGAAAGCCUGAUCCAGCAAUGCCGCGUGUGUGAAGAAGGCCUGG
Molecule: ribosomal RNA, 413 nt
Filed under: uncultured microorganism
Description: bacterial SSU rRNA
Rfam family: Bacterial small subunit ribosomal RNA
Source: RNAcentral